Humulus lupulus (European hop) is the source of this 107-nucleotide small nucleolar RNA. Lineage: Eukaryota; Viridiplantae; Streptophyta; Magnoliopsida; Rosales; Cannabaceae. The record is from RefSeq and is a predicted model, not a curated record.
AUGCCGUGAUGAGGAUACUUUUUCAACAGUUCCUUGAACCUCUCCCAAGAGUCAUAUAAAGAUUCCCCCUCAAGCUGGUAAAAAUUAUUAAUCCCCCCCCCCCCCCU